RNAcentral lists this ribosomal RNA (380 nucleotides) under uncultured eukaryote. RNAcentral's name for it is "partial 18S ribosomal RNA". It matches the Rfam family "Eukaryotic small subunit ribosomal RNA", at positions 592 to 976 of the family's 1831-position model. The record is from RNAcentral.
CAAUAGCGUAUAUUAAAGUUGUUGCAGUUAAAAAGCUCGUAGUUGGAUUUGUGGCUGUCACGGGCGGCCUAUCACUUAGUGUUAGUGCUUGCCUGUGUCGCCAUCCUUGGGUGGAGCCCGUGUGGCAUUAGGUUGUCGUGCGGGGGAUGCCCAUCGUUUACUGUGAGAAAAUUAGAGUGUUCAAAGCAGGCUUAUGCCAUUGAAUAUGUUAGCAUGGAAUAAUAAGAUAGGACCUCGGUACUAUUUUGUUGGUUUGCGCACCGAGGUAAUGAUUAAUAGGGACAGUUGGGGGUAUUCGUAUUCCGUUGUCAGAGGUGAAAUUCUUGGAUUUACGGAAGACGAACUACUGCGAAAGCAUUUACCAAGGAUGUUUUCAUUAA